RNAcentral lists this ribosomal RNA (206 nucleotides) under uncultured bacterium. RNAcentral's name for it is "partial 16S ribosomal RNA". It matches the Rfam family "Bacterial small subunit ribosomal RNA", at positions 1297 to 1500 of the family's 1533-position model. The record is from RNAcentral.
ACUGUAGGCUGCAACUCGCCUACACGAAGCUGGAAUCGCUAGUAAUCGCGGAUCAGCACGCCGCGGUGAAUACGUUCCCGGGCCUUGUACACACCGCCCGUCACACCAUGAGAGUCUGUAACACCCCAAGCCGGUGGGAUAACCUUUAUAGGAGUCAGCCGUCUAAGGUAGGACAGAUGAUUAGGGUGAAGUCGUAACAAGGUAUC